UUUAAAGUUUGUUUCUGUUUAUUUGAGAUCUUGGUACAUUCAUAAUUCAUUAGUACAUUCAUAAUUCAUUAGUACAUUCAUUCUUUUAGCAACAAUUAACGAAAUUCAUCGUAGAAAUCUUUCUGGAAAUUUGAAGAAAACGGAAAUUUCAUGGGGGCUCAUUUAUACAAUAAAUGAACAUAGAAGAAUAAAUGAUAGCAUUAUUUGAAAAAUAUCAUCUUAGAUUAUCCAUUCUAGAUUGAAAUACAUUACUCCUAUUACACCAGCACUGCCAACUGUACCUUUCAUCAGGGUGUAAAAAAUGCUAUUUUUGCCUGUCGGAAAGCUUCUAUAUUCUUAUUAUCAUUGUGCAACAUGAAAAAUGCAAUGAAGCUUCACCUUAUUAUAGUUUUACAAAGAACAGUUGUAUCUUUUUAAAAUUCAUGUACAGAUUUGUGUGGGGCUUUUUCUUUUGAGCGAAUAAAUUCAUUAGGUAAUUCA
Molecule: long non-coding RNA, 480 nt
Organism: Argiope bruennichi
Lineage: Eukaryota; Metazoa; Arthropoda; Arachnida; Araneae; Araneidae
Exons: 2
Source: RefSeq, a predicted model, not a curated record